This 366-nucleotide ribosomal RNA is filed under the name uncultured Rikenellaceae bacterium. RNAcentral's name for it is "bacterial SSU rRNA". It matches the Rfam family "Bacterial small subunit ribosomal RNA", at positions 1016 to 1382 of the family's 1533-position model. The record is from RNAcentral. Lineage: Bacteria; Pseudomonadati; Bacteroidota; Bacteroidia; Bacteroidales; Rikenellaceae.
UCUCUUCGGAGCAUUUUACGAGGUGCUGCAUGGUUGUCGUCAGCUCGUGCCGUGAGGUGUCGGGUUAAGUCCCAUAACGAGCGCACCCCUAUCAUUAGUUGCCAUCAGGUCAAGCUGGGGACUCUAAUGAAACUGCCUACGCAAGUAGUGAGGAAGUGGGGAUGACGUCAAAUCAGCACGGCCCUUACGUCCAGGGCGACACACGUGCUACAAUGGCCGGCACAACGGGAAGCGAGUUCGCGAGGACGAGCGGAUCCCUCAAAGCCGGUCGCAGUUCGGAUUGAAGUCUGCAACUCGACUUCAUGAAGCUGGAAUCGCUAGUAAUCGUGGAUCAGCCAAGCCGCGGUGAAUACGUUCCCGGGCCUU